UGGUGACAUGGAUAUGGCAUAUGGGUGAUAUGUAGAAGUAUAUUUUAUUGAGCGUGACCACUUUUGGAGCACUUUGCUAUCAAGAAUUGCUUUGAUGGGAUAUGGGUAUAUGUGUUCCUCGGACCUGAGGCUAUCUCGAUGACUUGCAAGCAACUCACUGUACUUUGAUGCCGGACUAUCCAAAUUUCUAAUUCGAUGAUGGAAAAUUUUUGGG
RNAcentral lists this long non-coding RNA (214 nucleotides) under Elaeis guineensis (African oil palm). RNAcentral describes it as "long non-coding RNA (EGUI_LNC053005)". The record is from RNAcentral. Lineage: Eukaryota; Viridiplantae; Streptophyta; Magnoliopsida; Arecales; Arecaceae.